GAUGAAGAACGUAGCGAAAUGCGAUAAGUAAUGCGAAUUGCAGAAUCCGUGAGUCAUCGAAUCUUUGAACGCACAUUGCGCCCGCCAGUAUUCUGGCGGGCAUGCCUGUUCGAGCGUCAUUUCAACCCUCAAGCCCCCGGGCUUGGUGUUGGGGAUCGGCGUGCCCUCGCGGCGCGCCGUCCCCUAAAUCUAGUGGCGGUCUCGCUGUAGCUUCCUCUGCGUAGUAGCAACACUCGCACUGGAUCGCAGCGCGGCCACGCCGUUAAACCCCCCACUUCUGAAAGUUUGACCUCGGAUCAGGUAGGAAUACCCGCUGAACUUAAGCAUAUCAAUAAGCGGAGGA
Molecule: unclassified non-coding RNA, 343 nt
Filed under: soil metagenome
Description: partial contains 5.8S ribosomal RNA, internal transcribed spacer 2, and large subunit ribosomal RNA
Rfam family: 5.8S ribosomal RNA (bases 1-119)
Source: RNAcentral